RNAcentral lists this unclassified non-coding RNA (608 nucleotides) under Hevea brasiliensis (rubber tree). Lineage: Eukaryota; Viridiplantae; Streptophyta; Magnoliopsida; Malpighiales; Euphorbiaceae. The record is from RNAcentral.
UUUUUUUUUACAUAAUAGAUUAUAACCCAUUUGAGUUCUUCAAAUAAAUGGUUCUGGAGGCUAUUUGUUUCCUUCAUGGAAAUGGAACCAUCUUCAAUUUUCUUCAUGAAGAGUGAUGUUUCUGUUCCAGGACCCAACCAGUCUCCAAGAAACCAUACAAAAUAUGAGGAGAUCAUUGCAACCCUUCCUCGUAAAGAAAAUGUCCUUGGAGCACAGCGCGAUUCAUACAUCCAUGAAUACCAAGGUUUUUGGUGCACUCCAACUUUGCUGGAAGGCAUCAUGUCAGUGCAGGAACACUUCACAGCUCCACCUACUGAUAUUAUCAUUUGCACCCAUCCAAAAUGCGGCACUACUUGGCUUAAAGCCCUGUGUUUUGCCAUUCUGACAAGGGCACGAUUCAACGAUUCCUCCACAAAUCCAUUAUUUACUAAGUCGCCACAUGAUAUUGUGCCUUGGCUUGAAAUUUUUUAUUGUUUCGGCGGUACUAGAGACCCUGAACUUCCACUUUGGGCCACACACAUUCCCUACACUUCCUUGCCCGAGUCCAUUGCAGAGUCCAAGUGUAAAAUUAUUUACCUCUGCAGGGAUCCCAAGGAUUUGUUUAUUUC